This 284-nucleotide unclassified non-coding RNA is filed under the name Hevea brasiliensis (rubber tree). The record is from RNAcentral. Lineage: Eukaryota; Viridiplantae; Streptophyta; Magnoliopsida; Malpighiales; Euphorbiaceae.
GGUUUAACUCAUUGCAUUAGCUAUUAGCCUUUAGCACAUCAAGACGGCCGCUCACCGAUGCGUUUCUCUUCCCGAGAGGUUCCUCCGACUGUGCUCACACAGGUCCUGGUCGUCCCGGGAGAUUUCUUCGGCAGCUUUUCCGAGUCUGAUCCACUUUUCUUGUUUUAUCUUCCUAUGGUGAGUGUCUGUUUAAUGCGCCUUGCUCUCUCUCUUCCCGGCAACUUCAGAGGAAGUGAACCUGCUCCGAUCAGCUCAAUGGGCGGGGCUUCUUUUCUGAUUGGGUG